GACGAACGCUGGCGGCGUGCCUAAUACAUGCAAGUCGAACGCAGUGGGGACGGGUGAGUAACACGUGGGUAACCUCCCAUCAGAGGGGAUACCACUUGGAAACAGGUGCUAACACGAUACUGAUGGAUGGACCCGCGGUGCAUUCGCUAGUUGAUGAGUUACCGGCUCACCAAGGCCACGAUGCAUAGCCGACCUGGGAGGGUGAUCUGCAACACUGAGACUGAGACCAGGCCCAGACUCCUACGGGAGGCAGCAGUAGGGAAUCUUCGGCAAUGGACGAAAGUCUGACCGAGCAACGCCGCUUGAGUGAAGAAGGUUUUCGGAUCGUAAAACUCUGUUGUUAGAGAAGCGGUAUCUAACCAGAAAGCCACGGCUAACUACGGGCCAGCAGCCGCGGUAAUUC
Molecule: ribosomal RNA, 403 nt
Filed under: uncultured bacterium
Lineage: Bacteria
Description: partial 16S ribosomal RNA
Rfam family: Bacterial small subunit ribosomal RNA
Source: RNAcentral